This is an RNA transcript of Tigriopus californicus, 5709 nucleotides long. RefSeq lists it as uncharacterized. The transcript is spliced from 3 exons. The record is from RefSeq and is a predicted model, not a curated record. Lineage: Eukaryota; Metazoa; Arthropoda; Copepoda; Harpacticoida; Harpacticidae.
AAAAUAUUGAUUAACAAAAAGUGCCCAGCUACCAUACGCCCAAUUUUAGAGUGGUUUCAACUUCUUGUCAUUCAAAAUACAUAAAUGCUCUCCUGAACUUAGACAAAUGAUAUUUGUUUUACUUAACAAUGUUGCAUUUUAUCAAGGGAGUGAAUGAGAUUCUCAAAUUCCAGUGUAAAUCUUGGAAAUUAAAAUUAGUGUCAAUUUUCUAAAAAAACAAUAGUUGCUACUUUAUGUAUAUGUAUCUAUUUUCAAAAAGUUUACAUUUCUAAUUAAUGAUUCCAUUUGUUGGUUAACAUCCCUAAAGGUCAUCAAAAAGAUCAGGGAAAGGUCAGGCAAAAUCCGACCAUGUUGAUCAAGAAGAUGGAUGGCCAAGGAGAAACAUGACCACUAACACCAUGAAGAGAAUUGUCAGCAAGGAUCUUGGGCUCAAGGUCUACUGAAAAUGCAUAAGCCACCUAAUAAUUGUAGCUUCCAUGAAGAAAAGGCUGACCAGAAGUCGGGUUUUGUUGAAAUUCUUGCAAACUGGCAUGACUGGCCCAAUCUGUUGGACUGAUGAGAAAAUAUUCACAAUGGAACCUCACUUCAACAAGCCAAACUAACUGUGUCUUGGGCUCCAAUAUCAGAUCCAUCCCUCUCCUUCCCCGAUCUGUCGUUUACAGACAAAACCCGUCUAGCAUUAUGGUGUGGGCUAGCAUGAUGUCCGAUGGCAAGAAACUGCCCUUGAUCUUCAUUGACAUGAGUGUCAAGAUCUCCGCCCAAUGAAAUAGACUGAUAGACUGAGAUAGGUGAAUUGUUGUUCACUUUUUUAGUGCCUUGACCGGAGAAUCUCAUAAUUUCAAUAACAAUUUUCGCCAUCAUUGGUUUUUUGUCUUGUAAGCCAAUGAAAAAAGUGCUUGGAAGCAGCUGUAAUGACUUAUGUCACGAGAUAACUUAUUCAAAAGCACAAUUUUUUACUGAUUUUUAAGCGAUGCUUGGAAUGGGAUUCCAAUCAAUAAUACGUAAUAAUCUAGAGAUUUGGAAUCCAAAUUACAUUUCAAAAUGACAUGCGAAAUUCCAAACUAAAGAAAAUGCUCAAAUAUUUGCGGAAAAUUUGACUCAUAAUUAAGGAAAAGGAAAAGCACCCUUGAUCUCCAUUAACAUGAGUGUUACUCGGUUACUCGGACGGUCCUUGCACUGUCCAGCAAGAUGGAUAUCCGGCGCACAAAUCUAAACUGGUUCAAGAUAUGUGUAGAACAUUUUUGUCAGUUUCUGGAGGAAGGAAAAGUGGCCUUCCAGCAGCAAGCCGACCUCUAUCGAACGGAUUUUUCCAUUUGGUUCAUUUUUGAGGGCAGGGCUUACAAGAAGCUUUACGGCAGUAUCAAAAUCCUGAAGCGUUCCCUGAUCAAGAAAUGGUAUGCCAUUUAGGAGAAUACUGUGCGUUCCGUUUGUGCCUCCAUCCUCCCUCAUUUCAAGAAGGUCAUUGCUGACAAAGGCAGGCAUUGUUCAAAUGGAUAACAAGAAAGUUGGUGUAUUUGAACUCCUCUAUGAACGUGUUGAAAUAAAAAAAGGCAAUGUUGUUAUAUCCCCAAAUAUCUAAAACUAUGCUGGAACUAGAGGGCUUGUCAGACAAGGGUCACUCUAGCCAAACCACUUGAGACUUCGCUUUGAUCACAUUUUGAUAGCUUGGCAGCAGGGUGUUGGGCUGAUCGACUUCUCUUCCGUUACUCAGUUUCAACCAAAACAGACAAAGCAGCCAUCAACUCACUGGCUCCCUGAAUUCGGAACUUGAUUUUGAGGAUCACGUAACUAAAUAUGUUCAAAGCCGAUACCUAAGGACACAACAGGCAGCAGCGAGGGAACCAAAAAAAUUCAGAAAUCUCUUGAGUGUCAUUUCUCUGACUAGCCCUGCAGUUGGAACCCAUAUUUAUCGCUCAUGCUGGAGAUUAGGUAAAAAAUUACAUGAAUUUGGUUUUAAAAGUUGCGUGUCUAUCCACCUUUGGUGGGUUGCACUUACUUUUGUACACCUUGUGCCCUCUUUUGUCCAUUUUUGGACACUUUUAGACACUUUGUGUCCAAAAGUCAGGCUGAUCACCAAAAUUGCCCACCCUGGUUGGGAAGCUACUUUACUUAUGUAGCCGUAACUUCAUACAAUACUUCAUAUGUAGCCGAGACUUUGUAUUACGAGACCCAUUGCGUACUUUGUCUUUUUUGAAUACCAGCAUGGAAGAAGAACAUUAUUAGCAUAAAAAAUAUAACUUCUAACACUUUAAAAGUUAUGAAUGAAGAGCACUUAGAGGACAAAAUCAUUGUGUCACCUUUAACUAAGAAUCCUCAACUAAUACAAUUACAAGGAAAAAACAUGACAUGCAACAUCAUUCCCAUUUCUGGACUUCAAAACAAUUGGCCGUGUAGAGAUUUCGUCGUGGACCUCGCCAAAACCGGCAUGAAGGCCAAUGACAUAAAAAAAUUGGUCGACGCCGCCCAUGGCCCUUCUGCCAUGACGGCUGGGCAAAUAUUUAAGUAAGAUCGUGGCCUCUGUUAAGGUUGGUGAGGACACGGAUGACAAAAGGCAUCGAAACCCCCGGAAAUGGAUUCGCACUCCGGAGAUUAUUGCUGCUGUUAGCAAAUAUGUGGAUGAGGAUCGCCGUGUCAAGACCAGAAAGCUGCGCGAGUCCUGUGUACCAAAGGCUUAAAAAAAACUGCAUUUCAACCUUGGACAAGCAUCCUUGAGGUCUGUCAUAACAAUAGAUGAAUCUACAGUGUCCUUCCACACACCCGAGACCAAGGAGUAGUCCAAGCAAUGGCUAAAAAAAGGCACCCAAGGACCGACAAAGGCCAGAGUCCACGCUCCACGGAAGAAGCAGAUGGUCAUUGCCUUCUUCGACUUGAACGGCAUGGUCUAUCAAAAGUAUGUCCCGGUGGGCACCGGAGUUGAUUCCGCCUACAUCAUCAACGUCAUGGAAAGGUUUUUGAAAGCUUUGAAGAAGAAACGACCAGAAUUAGUGGAGAAGGGGUGGCAUUUACAUUGGGACAAUGCGCCCGUUCAUACCGCUAAGACCACGGUGGAGUACUUGGCCACCCAGAGCAUCAAAGUUAUACCCACCCCGCCUAUUCCCCAGAUCUUGCCCCGGCAGACCUCUUCUUGUUUCUUACUGUCAAAGGACAUCUUUCCCGUGAUCAUAUCAACGGCAAUACCGUCAAAACUGACUGGGAACGGGUGGUUGGUGCCAUCCCCAAAGAGGACUUUGCCAAGGCCUUCCAGAAGUGGGUGGAACGAUGGAACAAGUGCAGCCAGUUAGAGAGGGAUUAUGUUGAGAAAUGAUAAAAUACAUUUUUUAUGUAGUCAAACAAAGAGCCACAAAUGAAGGACUAUCAUUUGUUUUUGACAUCACCUCGUACAUUUGUUUUUGACAUCACCUCGUACGUCCACUCUCCGAGAAUCAAUAUCUGAAGGAUUGUACUGUUGUCAUAUCUCAAGUAAUCCUUUUGCUGUGCUCCCUGAAGAGGUGCAAUACUAAGACUUCACUAACUCAAAAAGUGAUACCAUUAAUUUGGAUGCAAUUAUUCAUUAUUGUUAACCUAAUUAUUUGUUUGAUACUUUGCUUAGAAGUUGGAACAUGGCUGGUAUUUUACCGUACAAUAUGGAGUCCUUUUUAUAACCGGGAUAAACCAACUUGAAAUAAAAUUUUGCUUAGGUUCAAAACUUGCGGACGCCCAUUAAUAUUCAUUGAAAAUUGAAUAGAUUAACAUCUACCAUUUACUUCGUUCGUCGGCCACACUCCAUGAAGAAAGCUUCAAAAGUCAAGCGUUGCACAAAUCCAAGUCCAGAACCCGCUAUCAUUUCGCCAUGGAAGGAACUGUGCUCACAUGCAUCAUAGCCAUUAUGUAUAAAUGUGACUGGUUCAUUUACGAAGGGUCUCUAGUUCUCAAAGACUUGAAGGCCGACACCCUUUAUCCCACCAAUAAGCAAAUCCAUCGAGAAGUUUGCUCAGCCGUGGAUAUGGAAGAAACAUGCCAUUCCACUAGAAUCCGCCAUUUCGUAGAUUCCGUCACCCUGAGUUCGAACCCAAAGCCGGUUUCGAAAGAAAGUCUAGAUUUACACGGGCGAACCCUCAUCCUGAGCGCCAUGGAUCUGGUUCCUUUCAUUUACCGUGACGACCAAGGAGUGGUUCGGGGAUCUGAGUAUGGCUUUGUCAAGAUGGUAAGCGAACAAAUUGGAUUUGACGUCAAAGUGGUCAACUCCGAUCCAUCAGAGUUUUGGGGCAAAUUCAACCAAAGCCUGCAGAUUCACGAUACUGGAGCAAUUGGAAUAUUAGCAAGAUUGGAGAGCGACAUGUCCAUCGGUCAGCAUUUGCUGGAUGAUAUAAAGAUGAUAUCUGGUAUCGAGUCGGUCCAUAGUUACGAAAGUGAUGGAUUGUGCUUUCUGAUCCGAAGAGAGCAACCCAAGAGAGGCUGGAUGAGCUUGAUCAGUCCAUUGGAUCAAUUAACUUGGAUCGGCACAGGUCAUCUGCGGGUCUCAAAGUGUUUUUAUUCUCCUUCCUGAUGGCCACGAUGAUUUUGAAAUCGGGUUACUCAGGGACUUUGUUCGCAUUUUUGACGGUGGAUAUUCUCCCCGAGGGAAUUAAAACCCUCCAAGAACUCGAUCAUAGUGACAAGGCCAUAUGGACUUCAAUGGCCAAAAACGUGGCCAGAUUUCGCGACGCAGGUUAUACCGGAAUGUCUGAGAGACAUGUUCAAGUAGAAUUUAACGAAAUGUUUGAGUUGAAAGCAAGCCAAGAUGAUGCAGCCCUCUUUGAAACUGCAUCCAUUCUGGAUUACGAAAUAAGGCUCCGAUACAUUGAUGAGUAAGUGGCGCAGGGUUACGAGGGCUUUUUAAAUUAACAAUGUUCGUAUUUAUUUUCUGGAUACUCCAGAAACGGGGAGGCUUACAUGCGGCGAUUGGAACAAUGCUGGAACUUGUACAAUGUGGGGAUCCUCCUACAAGAUCGGAGUAUUUAUCGAGAAGUGUUUCAAAUGGCCUUCCUGAGAUUAACUGAUGGUGGUGUUUAUCGAUGGAGUCAAGACAUUUAUCUGGAGCAGACUGGUCGAAUGGUUCGACCUCAAGAGAGGACUACAAACCAAAAUAUACCCAUCAAACUUUUGGACUUACGUUUUCCUUUCGUUCUUUGGAGCAGUGGAAUCUUAAUUAGCUUUAUGUUUUGGGUCAUUGAAGCUGUUGCACAUGAGCUUAUGGAUUGAAAUAAUUUUAGUAACCGUCAUACGUGUUAGCAAAAAGGGAGGGAAUAUACAAUGUAGAAAAAUAUUGAACUCUUUUGUUAUCAUUCCUACUACUUGGCUGUACCUAGAAGGGCCAUAUAUUACGCCCUUUGGGGAUAAUUCAAUUGUGUUUUUCUGGGGAAGUCUACACACUGCAAGUACCUGGUGGUGUACACAGAGGUUAAGGUUUAAAGGGCUUGAUGAAUAAUGGAAAUCCAAUUAAGUGAAGGUUAAUGAGCAGGGAGUAAAAUGAUUCCACGUUUUUAAAUUGUCUACAGAUCAUAAUAGUCAAAGAGUAGAGAAGCAGAGGCUGUUUGUUAGCUUUAAAGAAAAGAGAGACGAGACGUUAAUUUUACGUCGCAAGUUGUCCUUGAGUAUUUUAACAUAGAAUGAAAAAGCCCAGUCGUUUUUGCUAGAUUUUAACUUUGCCCAAGUGUCAAAAGUGAAGUUAUGUACAGGCCACCUGGUUUA